Long non-coding RNA from Gallus gallus (chicken), 560 nucleotides. NCBI's taxonomy places the organism in Eukaryota, Metazoa, Chordata, Aves, Galliformes, Phasianidae. The record is from Ensembl.
AAACAAUUCCGCGACACUGACUCUGACUGUUCAUGAGGUGAGGCAGUGCUUUGGGUGCAGCCCACAUCUCUUAGUGCCUUGAAGCUGGAAUCAGUGAGUGCAAAUCUCAACCAAGAGACCCAGUCCAGAGCCACGGACCCACUCUGCUCCUCGUGGAGCUGCAGCCCAAUGUCCGACCUCAGUUCAGAACUCAGCCCUGAGUCGUGGUGCCCACUCCUGUUCCAGCCCAGCACUGAACGUGGCUCUGCUCCCGGCACCACGCAGCACUGCCUCUCUGCAGAACAUAAAAUGCAGACUACCAGAAUGCCAAAAAGGGCAGCUCCACUGAGCCUCCGAGCGCUCGGCUCGUGGUGUGCAGCAGUCACUCAUCAUUUGCACAAGUGGGGAUUCCACCAGGCAAUUCUCAGAGAAAUAAAGAUCAUCUCUUCGAGAAAGGAACUUUACAAAAAAAUUACAGUAUUAAAAUCGUAGAAUGGCUUGGGUUGGAAGGGACCUCAAGGGCCAUGAAGCUCCAAUCCCCUCGCUGAAUGCAGGGUCACCAACCAGGCUAGCUAUGCCAG